Molecule: ribosomal RNA, 1011 nt
Filed under: uncultured Candidatus Poseidoniales archaeon
Lineage: Archaea; Methanobacteriati; Thermoplasmatota; Candidatus Poseidoniia; Candidatus Poseidoniales
Description: bacterial SSU rRNA
Rfam family: Archaeal small subunit ribosomal RNA
Source: RNAcentral
UCAAAUAAUUUUGAGCUCUGAACCGACUCUAAAUAGUUCGGGUUAUAGGGGCGGGAAAUAUCGGUGCCAGCCGCCGCGGUAAUACCGAAGCCCCAAGUGGUCGUCGUUAUUAUUGGGCCUAAAACGUCCGUAGCCGGUUUGGUACAUUCGUGGGUAAAUCAGACAGCUUAACUGUUUGAAUUCUGCGAGGACGGCCAGACUGNAGACCGGGAGAGGUGUAGGGUACCUGCGGGGUAGGGGUAAAAUCCUGUCAUCCCGUAGGGACCACCUGUUGCGAAGGCGCUACACUAGAACGGAUCUGACGGUCACGGACGAAGCCUAGGGGCACGAACCGGAUUAGAUACCCGGGUAGUCCUAGGUGUAAACGCUGUGGACUUGGUGUCGGGGAUCUCUAGAGGAUUCUCGGUGCCGUAGUGAAGAUGUUUAGUCCACUGCCUGGGGAGUACGGUCGCAAGGCUGAAACUUAAAGGAAUUGGCGGGGGAGCACUGCAACGAGAGGAGCGUGCGGUUUAAUUGGAUUCAACGCCGGAAAACUCACCAAAGCCGACUGUUAGAUGAAGACCAGCGUAAUGAGCUUGUCGGAUUUUCAGAGAGGUAGUGCAUGGCCGUCGUCAGUUCGUACCGUAAGGCGUUCUGUUAAGUCAGAUAACGAACGAGACCCCCAUCGUCAUUUGCUAACCCUUUCUCCGGAAGGGGCGCACUAUGGCGAGGUCGCUGGCGUGAAGUCAGAUGAGAGCGGGGGCAACGGUAGGUCAGUAUGCUCCGAAUGCUUUGGGCUACACGCGCGCUACAAAGGACGGGACAAUGGGCUGCAACACCGAGAGGUGACGCUAUCCCGAAACCCGUUCGUAGUUCGGAUCGUGGGCUGUAACUCGCCCUCGUGAAGCUGGAUUUCGUAGUAAUCGCGUCUCAAAAUGGCGCGGUGAAUAUGCCCCUGCUCCUUGCACACACCGCCCGUCAAACCAUCUUAGUUUGGGGUGGGUGAGGCUACCUUUUAUUGGGGUAUUCGAG